This is a long non-coding RNA of Corticium candelabrum, 475 nucleotides long. RefSeq lists it as uncharacterized. The transcript is spliced from 2 exons. Lineage: Eukaryota; Metazoa; Porifera; Homoscleromorpha; Homosclerophorida; Plakinidae. The record is from RefSeq and is a predicted model, not a curated record.
AAAAAUCGAUGUUUGCGGUCGCGAACUAUUGCGACAAUUGCAAACGAAGGUGUUUUUGUAAACACGGUCGGGACACCGAGCUCACGCGCAUAGUCAGCGCAUACCAGACAAAAAGCAGGCAAAUCAGCAUCUCUACGGCUUUGUAACGGGGCAAGAAUAUCUAGAAACCGGAUGUGAGGAGACGACAUAUAUAGGUCUACUCUGACCUUUCUCUUCGACGUAUACGUACACGUACCAACCGGUUUCUUAGACGAUGACUUACUGAAAGCUCACGUUGGUUCACGUCUUGGGAGUUCGUGUAAUACGUUCAUCGCUGUUGAGUCAUAGUGUCAGGUCGAGAUCGAUCAGUGUCUAGAAUUACUGUAGCUGCAGACAUUGUUCAUUCGUUUUCUGCGUAGAGCGAAAUUUGUUUACCUUGUAUUCGAUCUAGUUUGUAUACAUGGUUGUCUUGGAAAUACACUACGAUUGAACACAA